Molecule: unclassified non-coding RNA, 308 nt
Filed under: plant metagenome
Description: partial contains 5.8S ribosomal RNA, internal transcribed spacer 2, and large subunit ribosomal RNA
Rfam family: 5.8S ribosomal RNA (bases 1-105)
Source: RNAcentral
GAAAUGCGAUAAGUAAUGUGAAUUGCAGAAUUCAGUGAAUCAUCGAAUCUUUGAACGCACAUUGCGCCCGGGAGCAUUCUCCCGGGCAUGCCUGUUCGAGCGUCAUUUCAACCCUCGACCUCCCCUUGGGGAGGCCGGCCGUUGGAGAUCGGCAGCGAUUGCCGGCUCCCAAAUUCAGUGGCGACCCGCCGCGGGGACCCCUGCGCAGUAACAUACACUCGCACCGGAAACCAGACGUGUCACGCCGUAAAACCCCAACUUUCUGAACGUUGACCUCGGAUCAGGUAGGAAUACCCGCUGAACUUAAG